GCCGUGGGCACCGGGUGCCCGGUGGAGCCGUGAGGAUCCGAGGAUGCGAGCCCGACCCUGCGAGCGCUGGCCGGGAUCCAGCGGAGCGCGCAGAUGGCGAGCGCGCCCCCGCGAACGCGCGGCCCCGGCCGGGGCGGAACUUGUUCUUCUUCCUCUCUGGCUCGUGGCUCUCAAGAGAUCCAUCUGCAGGAGAGGGAGCAGACACAGAGCAGGCUGAGACCCACAGCCCCAGUGAGCCCCAGUGCUGCCCUGGAAGAGGAGAAAGGGCCCUUACCCAACCUCUGUAUCAUGUCUGCCAACAUCUGGUCUUCCUCUUUCUCUCUGCAAUGGAACAGCAUGGCAUUAGGAAACGUUCCUGUGCUCAUGACAAGCUGGUAGAUACCAAAGCCCAUGAAAAUACUGCUCUUAUUCCCCAGUAAGAAAUGACCAACCUCCACAGCACACCCUGAGAAGCUGCAGGAAAAAACCCAACAGUGAGAGUCUUAGACAUGAGCAAAUUCCAUCUGGUUCCCUUGAAAGCAAAGGCCUGUGUGGGGAUUUCCAGACCUUCUCCCAGCUGGCAGAUGAAUCAUCAGAGUUCAUGGAGUGGUGAGACACCAGCACACCCCAGGAGAUGAGUGAAGCUGAGACACAGCAGCCUGGGGUGCUACAGAGGAGCUCACUGCCAUCAGGGACAGGCACACUGCUGUCACCACCUUGUCCUGGCAGCACCAGAAUCCACAAGCAGGAGCUGCUGCUCUGAGGUCAACAAAUGGAGGCUGUUCUCAGCAUCAGGAGGCACAAAUCCAGCUACUUGACAGUUUUCCUUUGAACUUGGGAAGGAUCCAGCUUUUGGCCACAGUUGUUCUUCCACUUGCUGCAGCAGACAUUCCUGACUUCAUGUUCCCAGAUUGCUCCUGCAUCUCCCAUACUGCCUGCAGCCUCCCCAUCUCCUCCCCUCCCCUGCAUUCCACAUCUCCCAGCCCAGUUCUCACAGCAGCUUUAGCCUGAGAGAGAACAGGGCUGUGGUCCUGACCUUUUCCCAACAGCUGCCAAGGAUGCAAAGACAGCAGCAUUCAGGAC
RNAcentral lists this long non-coding RNA (1062 nucleotides) under Zonotrichia albicollis (white-throated sparrow). RNAcentral describes it as "lncRNA (ENSZALG00000004492.1)". The record is from RNAcentral. Lineage: Eukaryota; Metazoa; Chordata; Aves; Passeriformes; Passerellidae.